RNAcentral lists this ribosomal RNA (921 nucleotides) under uncultured bacterium. RNAcentral describes it as "bacterial SSU rRNA". It matches the Rfam family "Bacterial small subunit ribosomal RNA", at positions 61 to 978 of the family's 1533-position model. The record is from RNAcentral.
GUCGAGGGGCGCACGAUGUAGCAAUACAUUGGUGGCGACCGGCGCACGGGUGAGUAACGCGUAUGCAACCUACCUAUCAGAGGGGAAUAACCCGGCGAAAGUCGGACUAAUACCGCAUAAAACAGGGGUUCCACAUGGAAAUAUUUGUUAAAGAAUUAUCGCUGAUAGAUGGGCAUGCGUUCCAUUAGAUAGUUGGUGAGGUAACGGCUCACCAAGUCCACGAUGGAUAGGGGUUCUGAGAGGAAGGUCCCCCACACUGGUACUGAGACACGGACCAGACUCCUACGGGAGGCAGCAGUGAGGAAUAUUGGUCAAUGGGCGAGAGCCUGAACCAGCCAAGUCGCGUGAAGGAUGAAGGAUCUAUGGUUUGUAAACUUCUUUUAUAUGGGAAUAAAGUGAGGAACGUGUUCCUUUUUGUAUGUACCAUAUGAAUAAGCAUCGGCUAACUCCGUGCCAGCUGCCGCGGUAAUACGGAGGAUGCGAGCGUUAUCCGGAUUUAUUGGGUUUAAAGGGUGCGUAGGUGGUUAAUUAAGUCAGCGGUGAAAGUUUGUGGCUCAACCAUAAAAUUGCCGUUGAAACUGGUUGACUUGAGUAUAUUUGAGGUAGGCGGAAUGCGUGGUGUAGCGGUGAAAUGCAUAGAUAUCACGCAGAACUCCGAUUGCGAAGGCAGCUUACUAAACUAUAACUGACACUGAAGCACGAAAGCGUGGGGAUCAAACAGGAUUAGAUACCCUGGUAGUCCACGCAGUAAACGAUGAUUACUAGCUGUUUGCGAUACACAGUAAGCGGCACAGCGAAAGCGUUAAGUAAUCCACCUGGGGAGUACGCCGGCAACGGUGAAACUCAAAGGAAUUGACGGGGGCCCGCACAAGCGGAGGAACAUGUGGUUUAAUUCGAUGAUACGCGAGGAACCUUACCCGG